GGUAACGCGUGGGUAACCUGCCUUAUACAGGGGGAUAACACUUAGAAAUAGGUGCUAAUACCGCAUAAGCGCACGGGGCUGCAUGGCCCAGUGUGAAAAACUCCGGUGGUAUAAGAUGGACCCGCGUCUGAUUAGCUUGUUGGCGGGGUAACGGCCCACCAAGGCGACGAUCAGUAGCCGGCCUGAGAGGGUGGACGGCCACAUUGGGACUGAGACACGGCCCAAACUCCUACGGGAGGCAGCAG
Molecule: ribosomal RNA, 245 nt
Filed under: uncultured bacterium
Lineage: Bacteria
Description: partial 16S ribosomal RNA
Rfam family: Bacterial small subunit ribosomal RNA
Source: RNAcentral